RNAcentral lists this transfer RNA (72 nucleotides) under Ovis aries (sheep). It matches the Rfam family "tRNA". Rfam says of the family: Transfer RNA (tRNA) molecules are approximately 80 nucleotides in length. Their secondary structure includes four short double-helical elements and three loops (D, anti-codon, and T loops). Further hydrogen bonds mediate the characteristic L-shaped molecular structure. tRNAs have two regions of fundamental functional importance: the anti-codon, which is responsible for specific mRNA codon recognition, and the 3' end, to which the tRNAs corresponding amino acid is attached (by aminoacyl-tRNA synthetases). tRNAs cope with the degeneracy of the genetic code in two manners: having more than one tRNA (with a specific anti-codon) for a particular amino acid; and 'wobble' base-pairing, i.e. permitting non-standard base-pairing at the 3rd anti-codon position. Lineage: Eukaryota; Metazoa; Chordata; Mammalia; Artiodactyla; Bovidae. The record is from Rfam by way of RNAcentral.
UCCCUGGUGGUCUAGUGGUUAGGACUCUGCACUUCUACUGCAAGGCCAGAGGUUCGAUCCCUGUUAAGGGAA